UAAAGGAGCGAUCCGGUGACGGAUGGGCAUGCGUGACAUUAGCUAGUCGGCGGGGUAACGGCCCACCGAGGCGACGAUGUCUAGGGGUUCUGAGAGGAAGGUCCCCCACACUGGUACUGAGACACGGACCAGACUCCUACGGGAGGCAGCAGUGAGGAAUAUUGGUCAAUGGGCUUACGCCUGAACCAGCCAAGUCGCGUGAGGGAAGACUGCCCUAUGGGUUGUAAACCUCUUUUGUCAGGGAGCAACGCCGGCUACGUGUAGCCGGACUGAGAGUACCUGAAGAAAAAGCAUCGGCUAACUCCGUGCCAGCAGCCGCGGUAAUACGGAGGAUGCGAGCGUUAUCCGGAUUUAUUGGGUUUAAAGGGUGCGUAGGCGGAAUGCCAAGUCAGCGGUAAAAUCGCGGGGCUCAACCUCGCUCCGCCGUUGAAACUGGCGUUCUUGAGUGGGCGAGAAGUAUGCGGAAUGCGUGGUGUAGCGGUGAAAUGCAUAGAUAUCACGCAGAACUCCGAUUGCGAAGGCAGCAUACCGGCGCCCAACUGACGCUGAAGCACGAAAGCGUGGGUAUCGAACAGGAUUAGAUACCCUGGUAGUCCACGCAGUAAACGAUGAAUACUAGCUGUUCGGGGCAAAUGACCCUUGAGUGGC
RNAcentral lists this ribosomal RNA (648 nucleotides) under uncultured bacterium. Its description in RNAcentral is "bacterial SSU rRNA". It matches the Rfam family "Bacterial small subunit ribosomal RNA", at positions 202 to 847 of the family's 1533-position model. The record is from RNAcentral.